CCUACGGGAGGCUGCAGUAAGGGAUAUUGGUCAAUGGGGGAAACCCUGAACCAGCAACGCCGCGUGAGGGAAGACGGUUUUCGGAUUGUAAACCUCUGUCCUCUGUGAAGAUGAUGACGGUAGCAGAGGAGGAAGCUCCGGCUAACUACGUGCCAGCAGCCGCGGUAAUACGUAGGGAGCGAGCGUUGUCCGGAUUUACUGGGUGUAAAGGGUGCGUAGGCGGCUUGGCAAGUCAGUAGUGAAAUCCAUGGGCCCAACCCCGGGACUGCUCUUGGAACUGCGCGGCUGGAGUGCAGGAGGGGCAGGCGGAAUUCCUGGUGUAGCGGUGAAAUGCGUAGAUAUCAGGAGGAACACCGGUGGCGAAGGCGGCCUGCUGGACUGCGACUGACGUUGAGGCCCGAAAGCGUGGGGAGCAAACAGGAUUAGAUACCCUAGUAGUC
Molecule: ribosomal RNA, 440 nt
Filed under: uncultured bacterium
Lineage: Bacteria
Description: partial 16S ribosomal RNA
Rfam family: Bacterial small subunit ribosomal RNA
Source: RNAcentral